Long non-coding RNA from Cydia fagiglandana, 2192 nucleotides. RefSeq lists it as uncharacterized. The record is from RefSeq and is a predicted model, not a curated record. The transcript has 3 exons. NCBI's taxonomy places the organism in Eukaryota, Metazoa, Arthropoda, Insecta, Lepidoptera, Tortricidae.
UGAUAAGAAUGGACUAGUGUAAUACAGUGUUCACGAUCUCAGUGUUUAAACGAAACAUAAAUGUGGAAUUGGCAAUAAAAAUGGACUGACGUCUGUAUUUGCACUAACAGGUUAAACAACAUAAAGAAAAAGAAGAUUCUACCAGGCGCUCAUAGAAGACGGAAGGUUUGCACGGCUUGCAAACAUACCGAGGCGCAAUGGCAGACCGGAACAGAUGUCGCAGCCAUACUAGCCAGCAGUGGAGCCCACGGAAUCGGGAAGAUUGGAAGUUACGGUGCUGUUUGGACGAGGCAGGCGACGGGUGGGUGACUUAGAAGACUCGAUGGGAGACCCAGCACUAUCAAUUAACUGGUGCUUGUGGGGGAGUCUACAACUGAAAAUAGAGCAGCGCUGAAAAGGAAAUUCAGACCGACUUGGCAAGAAGACAGAAGAAAUGGAAACACCUAAAAAUUUUAUGAUAAUGGCAUUGUAUUUAGUGUGCCAGUGCUUUAGACACAUAUAACCCGGAUACUGGGUGGAAGUGAAAGUGAAAAAUGACCAACCACAAUAUCGUAACACUAUAAAACAUAACCUGAAAAAAUUUUGUUACUAAAAUAACAAGAAAAGAUACGAAAAUGUUACUAAACUUGACUUUGCGAGUGAACGCGAGAACGAUUUGGAAUUAACGGCUGAGUGUAUUAAUUACCGAACCAAAAGAAUACCUUAGUUGAAGCGUCAAUAAUUAACAUCGUUUGAUUAUCGAUAAAUGUCGAUCGAUAAAUUUUGUAUGGUCGACCAGUCGAUUUGACAUCGAUCGAUGACCACUGGAUGCUGAGCGACGCAUCGAUUGACUUGGUCCGGGUAGCCAUUAGAGACAAUAAUUAAAAAUAACAAAUGUAAUGCCAUUUCGUAACUAACGCCUAAGCUUCAUUGCUUAGUUGCAUAUAAGGUGUAUUCUUGCAUCAUCAAAGUUUAAUUAUGUUACACUUUACAAUUCCAGUUGUAUCAAUGUCGCCUAUUUAACAAUUUAUAAAAAAAAUUACAAAAAGGGACUGCCUAGGCUUCACUGCUUAGUUGCAUUUAUAUGGAGCCAUUUAUUACUGGCGGGAUAGAUGGCGGGCCGUUCCUAAAAAUAUUUAAAUUACUUAGUAACAAAUAACCCUUUGUUUUUAAAUAAUAUUUAACUAGUGAUUCUUUUUUUUACAUAAAUAUACGAUUGUAUAAUUGUACUACUUAGAAAAGAACACACUGUUUGUAAUACAUCUGAAUAUUGUAAUAAAAAAAAUCUAGGUGAGUUUUUCAAUUGCAUUGACUUAUUUAUAUAAAAAAAUACAUAUAAAAAGGACUGCCUAAGCUUCACUGCUUAGUUGCAUUCAUGUGGAGCCAUAUUGUAUAAUUUGUACUUAGAAAAGAACACACUGAUUGUCAUUACAGUACAAAUUAAAUUAAUGUCAAUUUAGUUAUAUGAAUCUAUAUUGUAAUCUGAAUAAUAUUGUAUUUUAAAAAAUACCUCGCCGAGUUUUUCAAUGGAAUUGAUCAAUUUAUAAAAAAAACAACAUAUGUACUUACGUAUAUAAAAGGGACUGCCUAGGCUUCACUGCUUAGUUGCAUUUGUAUGGAUCCAUUUAUAACUGGCGAAAAGAGGGCGGGCCGUUCCUAAAAAAAUUUAAAUUAGCAAUAUACAUAUGUACCUACCUACAUACGAGUAUAGCCCUUUGUUUUUACAUAAGGUUUGACUAAUGUUUUUUACAUAAAAAUACGAUUGUAUAAGUGUGCUUAGAAAAGAGCACACUGUUUGUAUAGAGCAUACAUUUGUUAUUUUUUUUUUAUAAUACCUGCCUGAGUUUUUUAAUUGAAUUGAUCAAUUUAUAAAAAACAAAAUAUAUAAAAGGGACUGCCUAAGCUUCACUGCUUAGUUGCAUUUAUGUGGAGCCAUUUAUUACUGGCGGGAAAGGGGGCGGGCCGUUCCUAAAAAAAUAUUUAUUAGUAAUAAAUAAGUAGCUGUUUGUUUCUAAAUAAGGUUUAAUAUUUUGUUUAUAUAAAAAUACGAUUGUAUAAUUGUGCUUGGAAAAAAAAAACCGCUGUAAUACAUCUGAAUAUUGUAACUUUUUUGAAAAAAUAAUACCUCGCUGAGUUUCUUACGCCGGUUCUUCUCAGGACAGAGGUGUAACUUUGCGAACCGGUAGUAUUUUUUUUGCUAAUAAAAAAUUACA